UUUUGGGAGGGAAAACCCUCAUCAAGAAGCACAGAAAUGGCACCACUAUCUGCUGCUGAAAAGCAACGACGCUACAGGGCACGUCGUGAUGCAGACCCUGAGAAGGCAGAACUACCUCAACAGAGAGAAAGAGAGGUGGAGAAGGGACAGAGAGAAAGGAAGAAAACAUAAAGUAUCAGACCUCAGUGAAAGACAGAAGAGAGCAGAGAGAAAGAAAUGGCACGAAAUGAAAAGAAAACAGAGGGAUAUUGUCAGAGCCAGGACAACAUUUCAGUCAGUGACUCCUCCUCCAAGUCCAGACAGUCCCCCAGAGACAGAAAAUGCCUCACAACCAAGACCCUCAAGAAAUGUCAGACAAGGAAGAAGGAGACUCAAGAGUGAAAUCAUACAAUUAAAGGCCUUGUUGGAGAAGGAAAAGAGAAAAAAGGAAAAAUACAAGAAGAGGUACCAGCGUAUGGUGGGGAGAAAAAAUCGCCACGUCCUACAGUGGAUGCACUGCUGCAUCAUCAACCAGUGAAUAAUAAGCUGAGGAAAAGACUGUUGUUGCACGAAUCAAUUAUUGAUGACAUCAAAAAUAAAUACAAAAAUACCAAAAAAGGAACGAGAGAGGCAAAUUAUUGCAAAAAUAACAAUUGAAAAUAUUAUAAAGAAAUACAGGCUACAGAGGGCUGCACAGACUACUCUUGGUUUUUCAAAAAAGCGAGGUCAAAGGCUGAUGACUUUUGAAAGAAAGAAAAGCAGCAGAUUAUCUGUUGAAAUCAAACAUAAAGUAAAGGCCUUCUUCUUAAGAGAUGACGUCAGUAGAAUGACAACAGGACGAAAGCAAACAGUAACUCGAUUCAAGAUUAAAAAACAGAAACGUUUGCUAACCGACACGAUGAAGAUUCUGCACCAGAGGUUUCUUUCAGAAAGUGAUCAGGUCUCUUACUCAUGUUUCUGCACCUUAAGACCAUUUUGGGUCAUUGUGCCCACAGAGAGCUGAUCGUGAAACUUGUCAGUGUAGAACCCACGAGAACUUGCAGUUCAUGGCCAACACCCUGUACAGCCAAGGUUUGACAGCAUCAAAACACCUUGAGGAGAUGGUAGAUGCAACAAUGUGUGAUCUCAAAUCCAAACUCUGUGCAUAUGGUGAGUGUAAAGACUGUGUCAGUUCAACACAUUCAAUGCUGAGACCACCGACAGAUGCAGAAAUAGCCCUUACACAAUGAUCUCUGGAAGACAAUGCCAAAGUGAAUGAUGGAGAGCGGUCUGGGAAAAGAUCAACAAUCACAGUGAAGAAAACGCUGAUGACAACAGAGAAUGCACUUAUUGGUGAAUUUCAUGACAGGCUGUUCAGAUUUGUUCAGAUUUAGGCGACACAUCUUUAAUAUUAGAUGGCAGUAUGGGGCUUAUAGACAGCUGAGAGAAAACCUAAAGAACAACGAAUGUCUACUUCAUGUCGAUUUCAGUGAAAACUAUUCCUGUAAAUAUUCUGAAGAGAUUCAAUCUGUCCAUUUCGGAGGAUCACACCAGCAAGCAUCCCUACAUACUGGAGUGCUGUACACUGCAGCUGAAAAGGCACCAGUUACUUUCUGCUCCAUCUCUCCAUCCAGGCGGCAUGAUCCCCCUGCUAUAUGGGCCCACCUCGACCCAGUGUUAAACAUGUUGAGGGAGAGAUACCCACUAAUCAGUCACCUCCAUGUGUUCAGCGACGGCCCAGCUACAAUAUAAACAAAAGGGCAACUUUUAUCUGCUCUCAAAAGAGCCUUUCAAGAAAGGCUUCAAAGACAUCAGCUGGAACUUCUUUGAGGCAAGCCAUGGAAAGGGGGCUCCAGAUGGUGUUGGCACUACCCUUAAAAGGUCAGCUGACAAAAUUGUCCGCCAUGGAGGAGAUAUCCCCAAUGCAGAAGCCAUGUUCCACAAGUUGAGGAACUUGGGCACUUCAGUGGAACUUUUCCUUGUGAGAGAAGAAGAUGUUGAGAGAAAAGUGCAGGAAAUAAUGGAUGCACCCCUGCUUGUGCCUGUCAAAGGAACAAUGAAAAUUAACCAAGUCCUAAGUUUGUCUCCAGAGAGAAUAAAAUACAGGGACAUAACAUGUCUCUGCCAGGCAGACAAAGGUAUAUUGGACUGUGCAUGCUAUGGCCUGAAGGAAGUGAGACUGGGAGAAGAGGCAAGCCUGAAUUGCACUGAGGAAACAUCAUGACCAACAAAGUUACCAAAGAAAACAUUGGUGAAUGGUGCAUUGUCAAUUACGAUGGUGAUCCCUACCCUGGAAUCAUCUUGGAGGUUGAGGAAGAUAUAAAGGUGAAAUGCAUGUACCAGAAUGGGACCAACAAGUUCUACUGGCCAAGUCCACGAGAGGACGUUUCCUGGUACACGGAUGAACAGAUUGUGUGCCUGAUGAAGGUGCCACAACCCUUGAAUAAGAGGUCUGUCCAGCUGGAGAAGAAGCUGUGGGAUUUCCUCAAAAAACACUUGGGUUGCUGAUAUGUCACAUAGUUUGUUGUUUCUGAAACACAGGGUUAAAGGUCAGAGACUAACAAAUGUUCCUGAUGUUUAGUUUGGGUGUGCACUACAUUUGAAAUUUAAUGAGGACAUGCAUCUGUCUGUGUCUGUGUUGGGUGGUGGUGGGAGGUGGGGUGCUGUUGUCGGGGGUGUGUGUAUUCCUUAAUAUUUUUUUGUUUACUGGUUUGAUGUCCACCCUGUUACUUCUCUGUCCACCCUGU
Molecule: long non-coding RNA, 2705 nt
Organism: Lates calcarifer (barramundi perch)
Lineage: Eukaryota; Metazoa; Chordata; Actinopteri; Centropomidae
Exons: 3
Source: RefSeq, a predicted model, not a curated record